Molecule: ribosomal RNA, 586 nt
Filed under: uncultured bacterium
Lineage: Bacteria
Description: bacterial SSU rRNA
Rfam family: Bacterial small subunit ribosomal RNA
Source: RNAcentral
CCUACGGGAGGCAGCAGUGGGGAAUUUUGGACAAUGGGCGCAAGCCUGAUCCAGCAAUGCCGCGUGAGUGAAGAAGGCCUUCGGGUUGUAAAGCUCUUUUGUCAGGGAAGAAAAGGUGCGCUCUAACAUAGCGUACUGAUGACGGUACCUGAAGAAUAAGCACCGGCUAACUACGUGCCAGCAGCCGCGGUAAUACGUAGGGUGCAAGCGUUAAUCGGAAUUACUGGGCGUAAGGCGUGCGCAGGCGGUUUUAUAAGUCUGAUGUGAAAUCCCCGGGCUCAACCUGGGAACUGCAUUGGAGACUGUAAGGCUAGAGUGUGUCAGAGGGGGGUAGAAUUCCACGUGUAGCAGUGAAAUGCGUAGAUAUGUGGAGGAAUACCGAUGGCGAAGGCAGCCCCCUGGGAUAACACUGACGCUCAUGCACGAAAGCGUGGGGAGCAAACAGGAUUAGAUACCCUGGUAGUCCACGCCCUAAACGAUGUCUACUAGUUGUCGGGACUUAAUUGUCUUGGUAACGCAGCUAACGCGUGAAGUAGACCGCCUGGGGAGUACGGUCGCAAGAUUAAAACUCAAAGGAAAUUGACGG